RNAcentral lists this ribosomal RNA (459 nucleotides) under uncultured bacterium. Its description in RNAcentral is "partial 16S ribosomal RNA". It matches the Rfam family "Bacterial small subunit ribosomal RNA", at positions 338 to 795 of the family's 1533-position model. The record is from RNAcentral.
CCUACGGGAGGCAGCAGUGAGGAAUAUUGGUCAAUGGGCGUAAGCCUGAACCAGCCAAGUCGCGUGAGGGAUGAAGGUUCUAUGGAUUGUAAACCUCUUUUGUCAGGGAGCAAAGGGCGCCACGUGUGGCGUUUUGCGAGUACCUGAAGAAAAAGCAUCGGCUAACUCCGUGCCAGCAGCCGCGGUAAUACGGAGGAUGCGAGCGUUAUCCGGAUUUAUUGGGUUUAAAGGGUGCGCAGGCGGAAUGUCAAGUCAGCGGUAAAAUUUCGGGGCUCAACCCCGUCGUGCCGUUGAAACUGGCGUUCUUGAGUGAGCGAGAAGUAUGCGGAAUGCGUGGUGUAGCGGUGAAAUGCAUAGAUAUCACGCAGAACUCCGAUUGCGAAGGCAGAAUACCGGCGCUCAACUGACGCUCAUGCACGAAAGCGUGGGUAUCGAACAGGAUUAGAUACCCUAGUAGUC